GAUGAACGCUGGCGGCGUGCUUAACACAUGCGAGUCGAACGGAAAGGCCCAAGCUUGCUUGGGUACUCGAGUGGCGAACGGGUGAGUAACACGUGGGUGAUCUGCCCUGCACUUCGGGAUAAGCCUGGGAAACUGGGUCUAAUACCGGAUAGGACCACAUUUUGGAUGGUGUGGUGGAAAGUUUUUCGGUGUGGGAUGAGCUCGCGGCCUAUCAGCUUGUUGGUGGGGUAAUGGCCUACCAAGGCGUCGACGGGUAGCCGGCCUGAGAGGGUGUACGGCCACAUUGGGACUGAGAUACGGCCCAGACUCCUACGGGAGGCAGCAGUGGGGAAUAUUGCACAAUGGGCGCAAGCCUGAUGCAGCGACGCCGCGUGGGGGAUGACGGCCUUCGGGUUGUAAACUCCUUUCGCUAGGGACGAAGCGUUAUGUGACGGUACCUGGAGAAGAAGCACCGGCUAACUACGUG
Molecule: ribosomal RNA, 466 nt
Filed under: uncultured bacterium
Lineage: Bacteria
Description: partial 16S ribosomal RNA
Rfam family: Bacterial small subunit ribosomal RNA
Source: RNAcentral